UAAUCCUGUCCUCACUGCCCCCUGCCUCAGAGGGAGCAAGCCCUUUACCUCAAUGCCAGUUGAAGAUCAUUGCAAAUAUAUUAAAUCUGAUGGAAAUCUGCCGCAUUAAAUGUUAGUUACAUAUGAACUGACUUGUUACUAACUAGGUGAUACACUGUUGUGAUUUGUAAGCAUUUCAUUAGAUUUUUAUUUUAUGGUUUAUUUUUCUGUUAUGAUAAUCCAUUUUUAUUUUUCAGGCCUCAAACAUUUUGUGGGACAUUACAAAACUCACGUCCUCUGUGCCCAUGGAACUUUGUGACUCAAACAACCGUGACUGAGGUGCCAGGCUCGCUGGCACUGUGGUAAGUGACAUCGCCUCCAUGUGACCACACAUGUACACCGAAGGAUGAGCUGCAGUGUCAGCAGGCUUCCAGGACACUGCUCACAACAUAAAUGCACAUCUCCCCACCCUCCCCUGUUACAAUGGGCUUCCUGGGCCAUCUGCCUUCCUCUUACUCACAGGUUCCUCUCCACUCCACACUCCUCUGCUUCCAGGACCUUGGGCCCAGAAAGGUCAACCCAGAGCCUGAAGUGGUAGAAAUUCUGGAUCCUGGGUUCUCCAUGGCCGAUCUAGGGCAUGUGUUCAAAUCCUUGGUGCUGCUCAGAACCACAGAAGGGCUGGAACUUUUUGAUCACACCAAAGAGGAACGUUUGCGUCAGCAAACUGAAAGCAGAAAUCCCAACUGUCAGAGAUGCUUACACUUUGUACGCCGCCUAUUCCUUAAAAACUAAGCAGACCUAACUCACCGACUGUCUGACUAAUUAGCAGAAUGUUCUUCAGGCAGACAGAACUCAGACGCCUCCAACAGAAUAGUGAGAUCAGCUCUUUGGAACGGCGAUUCCCCCCUCUUCUCUCUUACAGGACAAAAUGUCUGAGUGGAGCGCUUCGUGGCCGACUUUCACCAGGGUCUUAAAUAUAAUUUCUUCAAGGUGUUGAGAUGAGUGGAUGAAGAAAAAGAGAAGAACUAGAAGCUCUCUUGGGAGUUCUCUUCAUCUUUUCUGCUGAUUUCUGUCCUGUGUUGCAGGGAAGGUACAAGAAACUAAAAAUCAAUAGGAUUCAGGUUUACAUUAAAAUUACACAUCUGUUCCAUCCCUCACCUGCAUUUACCUAGUUUCCUGGAGGUUCCAUUUAUAAUGCUAGGCUCUAGCUACCCCGAAAUAAGAAAAUCAAAAAGAAACACACAGCUAGCAUAUAUGUGACAUAUAAAUGAAUCUGACCAACCAUCAUGAAAGGUAUUCUGUCCCUUUCCUAUACACUAUACACAGGCCAUGUGUACAUUACCCACACUGGUCUACACUUUUCCCAAAAACUCUGAGCUGAAGACUCUCUGUGACCCCCAAGAAGCAAUAUUUUAUUUUUCUGAAUCAUACCCUUGAAUCGGCACUUAUAUCAUACAGGCACAAGGAGAAGGCUUCUCUGAAACUAGAGGACAGAGAAUUGUGGGCCUUAAGUGGGGGUUGUUAUAAGUGCACCUUCCUCUCUCCAGAUGACUUGCCUAGUCCCUGAGGCUAGGGGACCAGGCCCUGAGCCUCUUAAAGCCCCCAGAGAGUCCAGUUUAUGGCAGGCCUCCAGUGGACAGGUUAGAAGUCAGAGCCCUAGAGAGAGAGCAGUUCGGGGAGAUCGCUAGGAUGAGAACAGAGACAGAGAAGCCAAACGCGGAGGAACAUUUAAAGCCCGAGAACAGGCUGCUUCUGCAGUCCCUGUGAUAAUGCUGACUUGGAUCUGAUUUUGUCAUGGAGUUCCAGUAAGGCGGGAACAAAGCCCAAAGCAGUGUCAGGUGGCUGCAGCAGGGACACAAGGCCACAGCCGGCUGGCCGCUAAUGAACUGGCUGGAGCGAAACCAGAGAGGGUUCAAAGACAGCGGAGAGGGGCACCUGCCAAGCCCUGCCAAGGGCUGAUAUACCUGGG
Long non-coding RNA from Capra hircus (goat), 1948 nucleotides. The record is from Ensembl. NCBI's taxonomy places the organism in Eukaryota, Metazoa, Chordata, Mammalia, Artiodactyla, Bovidae.